GGCGCCGGCCGGUUCACAGCCCGGCAUGCAGCUGCGGGCCCUCGCGCCCGCGUGAGGGUGUCGGGCCCGGGUCCCGCCAUGGCCGGGAAGGACUGUGGCAACCUGAAGACGGCGAGGCUGUGGCGGGACGCCGCCCUGCGCGCCAGGAAGCUGCGGAGCAACCUGCGCCAGCUCACCCUCACCGUGGCCGGGGGCUGCCCGGGAGCCGGAGCCGCAGCAGCCGAUCAGCUCGACUCGCCCGACGCUCCCCAGCUCGUGCUGCCGGCCAACAUCGGGGACAUUGAGGUGCUGAACCUGGGGAACAACGGGCUGGAGGAGGUGCCUGACGGGUUGGGGUUGGCUCUGGGCAGCUUGCGCGUUCUGGUCCUGCGCCGGAACCGUUUCGUCCGGCUGCCCCCGGCGGUGGCCGAGCUGGGCCACCACCUCACCGAGCUGGACGUGAGCCACAACCGGCUGACCACCCUGGGCGCCGAGGUGGUGAGCGCCCUGAGGGAGCUGCGCAAGCUCAACCUGAGCCACAAUCAGCUGCCCGCCCUGCCUGCCCCGCUGGGCGCCCUGGUCCACCUGGAGGAGCUAGAUGUCAGCUUCAACCGGCUGGCGCACCUGCCGGACUCCUUCUCCUGCCUCUACCGCCUGCGCACCCUCGACGUGGACCACAAUCAGCUCACUGCCUUCCCCCCGCAGCUGCUGCAGCUGGCCGCCCUGGAGGAGCUGGACGUGUCCAGCAACCGACUGCGAGGCCUACCUGAGGAUAUCAGUAACCUGCAUGGCCUCAAGAUCCUCUGGCUGAGUGGAGCCGAGCUUGGCACCUUGCCCAACGGCUUUUGCGAGCUGGCCAGUUUGGAAAGCCUCAUGUUAGACAACAACGGGCUGCAGGCUCUGCCAGCCCAGUUCAGCCGCCUGCAAAGACUCAAAAUGCUCAACCUCUCGUCCAACCUCUUUGAAGAGUUCCCUGCCGCGCUGCUGCCCCUGGCUGGUCUGGAGGAGCUCUACCUUAGUCGCAACCAGCUCACCUCAGUGCCAUCCCUUAUCUCCGGGCUGAGCCGGCUUCUCACCUUGUGGCUGGAUAAUAACCGCAUCCGUUACCUGCCGGACUCCAUUGUGGAGCUGACCGGCUUGGAGGAGCUGGUGUUGCAAGGGAACCAGAUCGCUGUGCUGCCUGAUAACUUUGGCCAGCUCUCCCGAGUGGGCUUGUGGAAGAUUAAGGACAAUCCACUGAUCCAGCCCCCCUACGAGGUCUGCAUGAAGGGGAUCCCCUACAUUGCAGCCUACCAGAAGGAGCUGGCUCAUUCCCAGCCAGCCGUGCAGCCUCGCCUCAAGCUGCUCCUGAUGGGCCAGAAGGCCGCAGGAAAGACCUUGCUCCGACACUGUCUCACAGAGGAGAGAAUGGAGGGCAGCCAGGGAGGAGGGGACAAGGAGAAGAGCUACCCACCUUCUCCUCCCCCUGGGAACAAGGGCAUCGAGGUGACCAGCUGGACAGCAGAUGCCUCCCGGGGCCUGCGGUUCAUCGUGUAUGACCUAGCUGGGGAUGAAAGCUAUGAGGUGAUCCAGCCCUUCUUCCUUUCCCCAGGGGCCCUGAAUGUGCUGGUGGUCAAUUUGGCCACGUACGAGCCACGCUGCUUUCCCACCACGGUGGGCUCCUUCUUGCAUCGGGUAGGGGCCAGGGUGCCUCAUGCGGUGGUGUGCAUAGUGGGCACACACGCUGACCUGUGCGGAGAGCGGGAGCUGGAGGAGAAGUGCUUGGAUAUUCACCGUCAGAUUGCCCUGCAGGAGAAGCAUAAUGCCGAAGGCCUCAGUCGGCUGGCCCAAGUGGUGGAUGAGGCCCUGGCGCGGGACUUCGAGCUGCGCUCUGCCAGCCCCCAUGCUGCCUAUUACGGGGUUUCGGACAAGAACCUGAGGCGGCGUAAGGCUCACUUCCAAUACUUGCUCAACCACCGGCUGCAGAUCCUCUCUCCAGUGUUGCCUGUGAGCUGUAGGGAUCCCCGUCAAUUGCAACGUCUUCGGGAUAAGCUGCUGUCCGUGGCUGAGCACCGAGAAAUCUUCCCGAACUUACACAGGGUCCUGCCUCGAUCCUGGCAGGUGCUGGAAGAGUUGCAUUUCCAGCCCCCUCAGGCGCAGCGCCUGUGGCUGAGCUGGUGGGACUCAGCGCGCCUGGGACUGCAGGCAGGGCUGACGGAGGACCGACUGCAGAGUGCCCUUUCCUACCUGCAUGAGAGCGGCAAGCUGCUCUACUUUGAAGAUAGCCCUGCCCUCAAAGAGCACGUCUUCCACAACCUCACCCGCCUCAUCGACAUCCUCAAUGUCUUCUUUCAGAGGGAUGCUUCCUUGUUGCUGCAUAAACUGCUCCUGGGGACCAGUGGAGAAGGUGAAGGUGAUGGAGAAAGCUCCCCUGUGAUGACUCUACCCACUGUGAGCCAGGAUCUGCUCCGGGCCACUCAACUCCAUCAUUAUGUGGAAGGCUUUCUGUUGCAUGGGCUCCUACCAGCCCAUGUCAUUCGAUUGCUGCUUAAGCCUCAUGUCCAGGCCCAACAGGACUUGCAGCUGCUACUGGGUCUGCUGGAGAAGAUGGGACUCUGUUAUUGCCUCAACAAGCCGAAGGGCAAGCCUUUGAAUGGAUCCACAGCUUGGUACAAAUUCCCGUGCUAUGUGCAGAAUGAAGUACCUCACGCAGAGGCCUGGAUUAAUGGGACCAACCUAGCUGGGCAGUCUUUUGUGGCUGAGCAAUUGCAGAUUGAAUAUAGUUUUCCCUUUACCUUUCCACCUGGGUUGUUUGCCCGCUACAGUGUCCAGAUCAACAGCCAUGUGGUACACAGAUCCGAUGGGAAGUUUCAGAUCUUUGCAUAUAGAGGGAAAGUUCCGGUGGUGGUGAGUUACAGACCUGCCAAGGGGGUUCUACAACCAGACACCCUCUCCAUUGCCAGCCAUGCAUCAUUACCAAAUAUAUGGACCGCCUGGCAAGCCAUCACCCCUUUGGUAGAGGAACUGAAUGUUCUACUUCAGGAAUGGCCUGGACUGCACUACACCGUGCACAUUCUCUGUUCUAAGUGCCUUAAGAGAGGGUCGCCCAAUCCACAUGCUUUUCCAGGGGAGCUGCUGAGUCAGCCCAGGCCGGAAGGAGUGGCAGAGAUCAUCUGCCCCAAGAAUGGCAGCGAGAGAGUGAAUGUGGCCCUGGUUUACCCACCUACGCCGACUGUGAUCAGCCCCUGUUCCAAGUAUCUUCAUACUUUCUUGGAAAAUUAAGUGGAAAUGAUAGUGCAUCUUUCCCUAAUGCCAACAUUUUUACUGUACCCACUCUGUGACUUUAGGAGCACCAGUUUUAAGGGAAGAACGUUGGUGAAAAGCACAGAAACCAGUGACUUUCGUGGCUGUGGAAUUUCCAUGGAGAAAAUAGAGAGUGGAACUCACAUGGAUCAUCUUCUGUACCUGCGAGCCCUCCCCUCUCCCAGGCACUUUCUGUGACCAGGAGUGAAGCUGUGUUCCAGGUGCUUUCAGAGGGUCAUUGGAGAGGUGCGGAGGGGCGGGGAAGGGGGCAAGAACAUGGAGCAUAUGUUUCACAACCUGAACCUCAGAACUGUGAUCCUCCAAGUAGAAUGCUACUUGAAGAAAAGAAAAAAAAAUGUCUAAUGGCUUCUCAGGGAUUUUGUUUUCUGUGCACAUUUAAGCCAUAGUGACAGUACAGGUGGCAGUAUUUUGAGCACUCGGGUUUCAGUUCUGUUCAAUGUGAAAAGAUGGAUCGAUCGACUGACGUUCAUUGCUGUUCCGUCACUAGUGUAAGAUAUGUAUAUGUUUAUCUUUAUUUUUAUAAUAUGCAAAUACAUUAAAAUUUAUACAGUUUGAAGCUUCUAGCAUUAGUUGACACUGGGUGCAAUAUUUUGCAUGAGAACUGUGCCAAGAUGAGGCUGAUUUCUUAUUUUAGUAUAGGACAUUUUUUUGUUCUUUAUUCUUUACUCCACCUUCUCAGAUUAAAAUGGAGAGGUUAAAAAAAGAUAUAGAUUAGCUCUUGGGUUUUGCAUUGAUUCAAAGAAAUUGCCAGUAAUUAGCAAGAUCUUGCAACAAGCAUUUCAUAAAUGCCUGGCAGUUAUCUUGCAAGGUGGAGCGAUUAUGUCUCCUCACUUCCCACAUUAGCACUGGGGCAGCCUCUUGCAGGGGGCCCAAGGAGACAAAUAAUCCAUGGAAAACUUGAGUCUUUCAAUAGCUCAAGAUGAUCAGGAGUCAAUUCUAAUCAUGUGAAGAGUUCUGCUAUUAAGUACCUUUUUUUUUUUCUAGAACAGGGUUCAAUAAUUAGCAGUAUGCUUUGCCAGUCCCUCAAUAUCUGGCUGAGAACAUCCUCCUCAAUGGAGAACACAGUCCCACUUAUUUAUUCAUACAGAGCCUCUUGUUGGACAUCUACUGCCAAGAAGUAGUAAAAGCCUUGUUUUGGAAUCUACAGGAGGUAAAACUUUAGCAAACUCAACAAAUUACUCUGUCUCCUAAUUGGGGCCAAACAGCAUAUGCUGCUGCAGUAGGAACACAUUCUUUAAGGAAUGUAAAGGACUCUGUUUACAUCUGCCUCCUCCAUGUGUGGAUAGAAAAUGUGUAAAACUGUUUUUCACUAGUGUCAGACAAGAAAGUGAGUCAGCUGGUAUUACUCGUUCACUUCCUUUACAAAGUAUUGACUGUUGGAACGCCAUAGAGCACAAAGUCUCCACAUAUUUAAAACUUAAGAGUGAACACACAACUGCAUCUAAGCAUUUGCAAAUCAAUUUGUGUAGGGACAGACAGUUAAUUUCCUUGACUUUAGAACCUGAUCAUAAAGUCAAGUAGCCUAUUUGUAGAUUUAAAAAAAAUUGACUAUGACACUUCAUGUGUAAAAUUUCAUUUUCCUUUAGAACAUAGUCACAAGAUGAAUUUAGUUAACCCUUUUGUCACAGUUCUCGUGUGUGUGUUUGUGUGUGUGUGUGUGUGUGUGUGUACUGAAUGGUAACAUUUAAUUGCUUUAUGGACCAUUGGCAGUUAGAAUUUUUUAAUUGGCACCACACAGUUCUUCAGCUGUUAAAUCAAUCAACUUUGUCCGGUCUUUGCAAAAGACUUCCAAACAUAUGACUUUGGGCUCACUCCCCAGAAAUUCUAUCAAGUAAAAGUAAUGUCACUGGGGCUGUACCCUUGCAAAAUAUUUGCUAUCUUAAUGAACCCAUAUGCCCAUGUUCUUAAAAUCUACUACUUAUUUUUUUUUUGACAAGUGACGUUUUGUGCUAUUAUCCGAACCCUAGAGAAGCAGUGUAUGAGGAAACCUAGUGUGUUGUGACCAAAGGGUUGUCAUGGUAGAGGGUCAUAUGACCACAAGAAGCUCCAGAAAAGCAUGAGAACUUGCUUCAGCAUGGGGUGGGGAGAGGUUGAAGAUACAGAAAACACUGCUCUACAGGAAUUUUUGCCAUCUAUAUAGGAAAUUCCAUUUUCUCUCUCAACACCUGGAAAGACUCAGCCACCAGCCAAGGCUGACAGACCAUUCACUAAGCACAAGAGGAAUUUGUUCAACCCAGUGAGUCCUUUGCCUCUCAAACAAAUGCCCUCCAAGUUUGUUAUGGUUUCUAUUCCUGCAAAACCACUUCCUGGAAUUGUAAAAGCGCUGCCAGAAUAAAUGUUUUCCCCCUUCUAAGAAAAAACAACUCUGCUCCUAUUGACAUUUGUGUAUUGGACUCUUCUGUCUGAAUAAAGAGGAAAAGGUUUGCUGUGAUUCCGGAUGAAAUGUGUUCUUCAUGCCACAGUCUGUGAAUUGUAAUUGCGAUUUCUCACUGCAUUGUCUUAAUAGGGCAGAAAUUUAAAAAAAAAUGUCAAUAAAAGUACAAAGAAAUGGUUUA
Dipodomys ordii (Ord's kangaroo rat) is the source of this 5837-nucleotide RNA transcript. It is a transcript of the gene named malignant fibrous histiocytoma amplified sequence 1, with no coding region annotated. The record is from RefSeq and is a predicted model, not a curated record. NCBI's taxonomy places the organism in Eukaryota, Metazoa, Chordata, Mammalia, Rodentia, Heteromyidae. The transcript has 4 exons.